Molecule: transfer RNA, 41 nt
Filed under: Forpus modestus sclateri
Lineage: Eukaryota; Metazoa; Chordata; Aves; Psittaciformes; Psittacidae
Description: partial tRNA-Glu
Source: RNAcentral
GUUUUUGUAGUUGAGGAACUCAACGAUGGCUUUUUCAGGGC